GAACGAGCGCUGGCGGCAUGCCUAACCCAUGCAAGUCGAACGAGACCUUCGGGUCUAGUGGCGCACGGGUGCGUAACGCGAGGGAACAUGCCCUUAGGUUCGGAAUAACUCCCCGAAAGGGGUGCUAAUACCGGAUAAUGUCUUCGGACCAAAGAUUGAUCGCCUUUGGAUGGGCCCGCGUUGGAUUAGCUGGUUGGUAGGGUAAAAGCCUACCAAGGCGACGAUCCAUAGCUGGUCUGAGAGGAUGAUCAGCCACACUGGGACUGAGACACGGCCCAGACUCCUACGAGAGGCAGCAGUGGGGAAUAUUGGACAAUGGGCGAAAGCCUGAGCCAGCAAGGCCGCGUGAGUGAUGAAGGCCUUAGGGUUGUAAAGCUCUUUUACGCGGGAUGAUAAUGACAGUACCGGGAGAAUAAGCCCCGGCUAACUCCGUG
RNAcentral lists this ribosomal RNA (434 nucleotides) under uncultured bacterium. RNAcentral's name for it is "partial 16S ribosomal RNA". It matches the Rfam family "Bacterial small subunit ribosomal RNA", at positions 27 to 507 of the family's 1533-position model. The record is from RNAcentral.